UUGGAAAUUCAUCUAAGGGCAUGGUUAUGCUGCUGUAAGAUUCUUUCUGAUCUGUAUGGUAUGGAAAUCUCGUACUUAGUUAUCAGAUUACAUUAUGUUUCACUGUUAAUUACUUGAAGUGAAAUGUAUCAUUACAGGGACAAGAGUUAUUGUAGUAACUGUUGCUUUCUGAGUUCCCCUAAGUUCAGUUACUGAGAACCAGUGACACUGAUACUCUAUGUUUUGUGGAUAUAAUAUAUUAAGAAAAGACUGAAUUUUAAACUUUUUUUCUUUUCAAUGCUUGACAUAAUCAGUAUCAUGAUUGGGUUUCUG
This 312-nucleotide unclassified non-coding RNA is filed under the name Hevea brasiliensis (rubber tree). The record is from RNAcentral. Lineage: Eukaryota; Viridiplantae; Streptophyta; Magnoliopsida; Malpighiales; Euphorbiaceae.